RNAcentral lists this ribosomal RNA (865 nucleotides) under uncultured bacterium. RNAcentral describes it as "bacterial SSU rRNA". It matches the Rfam family "Bacterial small subunit ribosomal RNA", at positions 31 to 895 of the family's 1533-position model. The record is from RNAcentral.
GAACGCUGGCGGCAGGCUUAACACAUGCAAGUCGAACGAAGUUAGGAAGCUUGCUUCUGAUACUUAGUGGCGGACGGAUGAGUAAUGCUUAGGAAUCUGCCUAGUAGUGGGGGAUAACUUGGGGAAACCCAAGCUAAUACCGCAUACGACCUACGGGUGAAAGGGGGCUUUUAGCUCUCGCUAUUAGAUGAGCCUAAGUCGGAUUAGCUGGUUGGUGGGGUAAAGGCCUACCAAGGCGACGAUCUGUAGCUGGUCUGAGAGGAUGAUCAGCCACACUGGGACUGAGACACGGCCCAGACUCCUACGGGAGGCAGCAGUGGGGAAUAUUGGACAAUGGGCGAAAGCCUGAUCCAGCCAUGCCGCGUGUGUGAAGAAGGCCUUUUGGUUGUAAAGCACUUUAAGUGGGGAGGAAAAGCUUAUGGUUAAUACCCAUAAGCCCUGACGUUACCCACAGAAUAAGCACCGGCUAACUCUGUGCCAGCAGCCGCGGUAAUACAGAGGGUGCAAGCGUUAAUCGGAAUUACUGGGCGUAAAGCGCGCGUAGGUGGUUAUUUAAGUCAGAUGUGAAAGCCCCGGGCUUAACCUGGGAACUGCAACUGAUACUGGAUAACUAGAGUAGGUGAGAGGGGAGUAGAAUUCCAGGUGUAGCGGUGAAAUGCGUAGAGAUCUGGAGGAAUACCGAUGGCGAAGGCAGCUCCCUGGCAUCAUACUGACACUGAGGUGCGAAAGCGUGGGUAGCAAACAGGAUUAGAUACCCUGGUAGUCCACGCCGUAAACGAUGUCUACCAGUCGUUGGGUCUUUUAAAGACUUAGUGACGCAGUUAACGCAAUAAGUAGACCGCCUGGGGAGUACGGCCGCAAGGUA